Molecule: long non-coding RNA, 2786 nt
Organism: Ictalurus punctatus (channel catfish)
Lineage: Eukaryota; Metazoa; Chordata; Actinopteri; Siluriformes; Ictaluridae
Exons: 2
Source: RefSeq, a predicted model, not a curated record
UUUGUUCAGACAUGUUUACGGCGUGUGUCUGUGCUUCUUCCUUUUCACUGUAAUCCGAGUGUCAUUUUAAAAACAGCAUUAUGAAGCACAUUGUGAAAAGAGGAAGAGAAAAGGGAACUCUGACACUUUGAUUGUCCUACAUAUACUCAGUAGAAGUAAUAGGAAAGGAACUUCAGUGAUUUCAGUCUUUUAAGUUCUUCAUUUGACGUCAGGUAGUAAACCGGGUCAUAAUACAGGAAAGGAAAAUGGAAACCAGCAUACUCAGCAUUGUGAUCGUCCUCAGUCUCAUUGGUAACAGCCUGGUUGUUGUGAUCAGUGUAUUCUAUAUGAAACUACGUUCACUGACCAGCAUCUUCAUACUCAACUUGGCUCUAUCAGACCUGCUGUUCACUGUCGGACUGCUGUUCUUGGUCUACGCACUUACUUGGGGUUGGACUUUUGGAGACGCAGCAUGCACUGUGGUAUACUGUAUUUUCUCAGUUGGAUUUUACAGCAAUAUGCUGCUCCUGGUGUUGAUGACCAUUCAGCAGUACACAACCAUGGUGCACCCUCACUCAGGCUGGAAGAAAAGAUCUUGCGUCAGAUGUGUUCUUAUUUGUGCGUGGGUCAUGGGCACCUUGGCAGCAUUGCAUUCUAUUUUCUCGCUUGUCUCAAUAUUUCGUUAUCCAAGAGGCUGUAUAUUCAGCAGCAAAACUCCAUUUCAUGUUAUUACAUUUAAAGAGAGCAUUGUUUUUCUGUGUGCCUUUUUGUUCAUGGUUAUUUGCUACAUCAGGAUUCUGCAAACCGUCAUGAAAUCACCACCAAACCAGAGGCACAGAACUGCUGGACUCACCUUCCUUCUGGUAGCUACAUUCGUUAUUUCUUGGGCUCCUUAUAACAUAGUGUAUUUUCUGGAGACCUUAAGUUAUUUUUUUCCAAUAACAUUUUCAAAACAUCUCAAUUAUGCCAGCUACAUCUGCUGUCAUCUGGCUUACACCCGAUCCUGCCUCAAUCCAGUGAUCUAUGGUAUACUUGGUGUAAAAUUUCGCAAGAGAGUGCGAGAGAUUUUUCAAAGCGGAGCUACUUUAAACUCUGCACCAAUGGGAAUGGGAGAACAUCAUGAUGAAACACCUUGUUGACGAGAAGCAUCAGAGGAAAAUAAUGAGACUGGUCUGAACUGACAGGAAGUCCAUACUAACUCAAAUAAGCACUCUUUACAAAAGUGGUGAGCAGAAAAGCAUCUCAGAACACUGAGCACAUCAGACCUUGAGGUAGAUAGGCUACAACGGCAGAAGACCACAUAAGGUUCCACUCCUGUCAGCCAGGAACAAUAAUCUGAGGCUAUUAUGCGUACAGACUCGCACAAACUCUAGAAAGACUGGAAAAAGACCAGGUGAAUUUUUCCUAAUCUUGAUCACAGGAGUUGAACCUGAUGUGGUCUUCUGCUGUCAAUUAUUAUUACUGUUGUUGUUGUUGUUGUCUUAAAUAAUAUCCCAUUUUUAUUAACUAGUUUUACCUUUAUACACAGAGGGUACAGUAUGUGUAAGAAUAUGUGUAUCACACAUUUCCAUCAUUUGUCUAACUGUAACACAUCAAUCAAACAUUUCUGGAUAAUCUUUGCUUUGUGUCCUACAAUAAAUGAGAAGCGUACAUAAUGUAGCAGUAGAUUCACCAAAGGGGGUUUAAAAGUGAAUAUUUUACCAUAACUAAUGCUCAGGCUGUCUGUCUGAGAUAUAGUGCACUGCUAAGGGCUGCCAAGGCUGUGGUUAUAAACCACUGUGUAGGAUGGUGCCUUGGAUGCUGGCUCCCCAAGAGAGCCAGGUGAGUUGGGCGGACUCAGCGAUGUACUGUAUACACCAUGCAGACUGACAACAACUGUAUGAGAACUUUGUUCAGUCUUCUAGACUGUGAACUGUCUCAACACCCAGAAUGUGGUUAAGCAGCCUCACCUCACUAGUCUCAGGGUACCUGUUAAGUAGUUCCUAUGACAUCCCUUUCAUUUUCGGGUUGUAACACUACAAAAUGUGGAAAAAAUCUGCAACUUAUGCAAGCCACUGUACAUCAUCAAUCAGCAGUUAUAUACAUUAACUACAUAAAACAUUCAGAAAUGUUUUAGCAGUUCCAACUCAGCGUGGCACAAGGUCCCUUUCCAGAACCUUCAUACUAACUGUUCCUCAGUGGUGGAAUGCACUUCCAAUCUCAAUCCGGACCACAGAAUCUCUCACCAUCUUCAAAAAAACAGUUAAAGACCCACCUCUUCCAUGAACAUCUAACCAACUCAUAAUAAAAAAAAAUAAUAAUAAUAAUAAUAAAAUAAAAAAUAUGCACUUACACUUCUACUCUGCACUUUGCUUCUUCUGGAAUUCAAUUAAUUAUGGUAGCACUUCUUGUAUUGUUCUCUGCUUGAUAUAUCGCUUUGCUUGUAUCUUUCUCAUUUGUAAGUCGCUUUGGAUAAAAGCGUCUGCUAAGUGAGUAAAUGUAAUGUAAAUGUAAAUACAGUGUACCUUAUUCCUCUUUCUCUAUUUCUUCAUUGAAAACCCUAACAAGUUGACUGAAAUCAACUGAUUGAGUAAACUUGUUCCCUCAAUGUUCUUGAGUCAUGGGGUCUCCCAAACUUGUAUAUUUAAGUUCACUUAACUUGUAGACUGUACUUAAAUUGUUUAGUUCACCUAACUUGGUGUUUAUAUAGUGUACUUAAAUAAUUAAGUUCAUUUAACUUGGUGUUAAUUUCAAGUGUACUUACAUAUUUAAGUGAACUCAACUUAAAUAUUCAAUUGAAAUAAAAAAAAAUUAUAAAUUAAAUCAAA